RNAcentral lists this ribosomal RNA (253 nucleotides) under uncultured bacterium. RNAcentral describes it as "partial 16S ribosomal RNA". It matches the Rfam family "Bacterial small subunit ribosomal RNA", at positions 524 to 776 of the family's 1533-position model. The record is from RNAcentral.
GACGAACCGUGCAAACGUUGUUCGGAAUCACUGGGCUUAAAGGGCGCGUAGGCGGGCUCGCAAGUCAGGGGUGAAAGCCUCCAGCUCAACUGGAGAAGUGCCUUUGAUACUGCGGGUCUCGAGGGAGGUAGGGGCGUGCGGAACUUCCGGUGGAGCGGUGAAAUGCGUAGAUAUCGGAAGGAACACCGGUGGCGAAAGCGGCGCGCUGGACCUCUUCUGACGCUGAGGCGCGAAGGCUAGGGGAGCAAACGGG